RNAcentral lists this ribosomal RNA (419 nucleotides) under uncultured bacterium. Its description in RNAcentral is "bacterial SSU rRNA". It matches the Rfam family "Bacterial small subunit ribosomal RNA", at positions 917 to 1333 of the family's 1533-position model. The record is from RNAcentral.
GGGCCCGCACAAGCGGUGGAGCAUGUGGCUUAAUUCGAGGCAACGCGAAGAACCUUACCUGGUCUUGACAUGCCCGUCAUAGUUUUCCGAAAGGAAUUCGUCAGUUCGGCUGGACGGUGCACAGGUGCUGCAUGGCUGUCGUCAGCUCGUGUCGUGAGAUGUUCGGUUAAGUCCGGCAACGAGCGCAACCCUCGUUUCCAGUUGCCAGCGGGUAAUGCCGGGGACUCUGGAAAGACAAACCUCUUGUUGAGGUGGGAAGGUGGGGACGACGUCAAGUCAGUAUGGCCCUUACGACCAGGGCUGCACACGUGCUACAAUGCCCGGUACAAUGGGAUGCAAAAUCGCGAGAUUGAGCCAAUCCAUAAAGCCGGGCCCAGUUCGGAUUGGAGUCUGCAACUCGACUCCAUGAAGUUGGAAUC